AAGGUGGUGGACAUCCCCUGUCGGGCCAAAGGUGUGCCGCCGCCCUCCAUCACCUGGUAUAAGGACGCAGCCGUGGUGGAGGUGGAGAAGUUGACCCGCUUCCGGCAGCGCAGCGACGGGGGCCUGCAGAUCAGCGGCCUGGUGCCCGAUGAUACCGGCAUGUUCCAGUGCUUCGCCCGCAAUGCAGCCGGCGAGGUGCAAACUUCCACCUACCUGGCUGUCACCAGCAUCGCCCCUAACAUCACCAGAGGCCCCCUGGACAGCACGGUGAUCGACGGCAUGUCAGUGGUGCUAGCAUGUGAGACCUCGGGGGCGCCCCGACCAGCUAUCACUUGGCAGAAAGGGGAGCGCAUCUUGGCCAGUGGCUCUGUGCAGCUGCCUCGCUUCACACCCCUGGAGUCGGGCAGCCUCCUCAUCAGCCCCACACACAUCUCCGACGCGGGGACCUACACCUGCCUGGCCACCAACUCUCGGGGGGUCGAUGAGGCCUCAGCAGACCUAGUCGUUUGGGCUCGGACCCGCAUCACCAAGCCCCCCCAGGAUCAGAGUGUCAUCAAGGGCACCCAGGCCUCCAUGGUGUGCGGAGUGACCCACGACCCCCGAGUGACCAUCAGGUACAUCUGGGAGAAAGACGGGGCUACCCUGGGCACGGAGAGCCAUCCUCGUAUCCGCCUGGACAGAAACGGCUCCCUGCACAUCUCACAGACGUGGUCGGGAGACAUCGGCACGUACACCUGCCGGGUGAUCUCAGCAGGAGGCAACGACUCUCGCAGUGCCCACCUGCGAGUCAGGCAACUGCCCCACGCGCCCGAGCACCCAGUGGCCACUCUCAGCACCGUGGAAAGGCGAGCCAUCAACCUGACGUGGACCAAGCCCUUUGAUGGCAACAGCCCCCUGAUCCGCUACAUUCUGGAGAUGUCGGAGAACAAUGCCCCCUGGACUGUACUCCUGGCCAGUGUGGACCCCAAAGCUACCUCAGUGACAGUCAAGGGCCUAGUUCCUGCACGCUCCUACCAGUUCCGUCUUUGUGCCGUCAACGACGUGGGGAAAGGACAGUUCAGCAAAGACACCGAGAGGGUCUCCCUCCCCGAGGAGCCCCCCACGGCCCCUCCACAGAACGUCAUCGCCAGCGGUCGAACCAACCAGUCCAUCAUGAUCCAGUGGCAGCCGCCUCCUGAGAGCCACCAGAAUGGAAUUCUCAAGGGCUACAUCAUCAGGUACUGCCUGGCCGGGCUGCCCGUGGGGUACCAGUUUAAGAACAUCACGGAUGCUGAUGUGAACAACCUGCUGCUGGAGGAUCUCAUCAUUUGGACCAACUACGAGAUCGAGGUGGCUGCUUACAACAGCGCUGGGCUGGGGGUCUACAGCAGUAAAGUCACCGAGUGGACGCUGCAGGGAGUUCCCACGGUCCCUCCGGGCAAUGUGCACGCGGAAGCCACCAAUUCCACGACCAUCCGCUUCACCUGGAACGCCCCCAGCCCCCAGUUCAUCAACGGCAUCAACCAGGGCUACAAGCUGAUCGCCUGGGAGCCGGAACAGGAAGAGGAGGUUACCAUGGUGACCGCCAGGCCUAACUUUCAAGACAGCAUCCACGUGGGCUUCGUGUCUGGCUUGAAGAAGUUCACCGAGUACUUCACCUCAGUGCUGUGUUUCACCACCCCCGGGGACGGGCCACGCAGCACCCCGCAGCUGGUGCGCACCCAUGAGGAUGUGCCUGGGCCCGUGGGACACCUGAGCUUCAGUGAGAUCCUGGACACAUCGCUGAAGGUCAGCUGGCAAGAGCCGGGAGAGAAAAAUGGCAUCCUCACAGGGUACCGGAUCUCCUGGGAGGAGUACAAUCGAACCAACACCCGUGUGACCCACUACCUGCCCAACGUGACCCUGGAGUACCGUGUCACGGGCCUCACCGCGCUCACCACCUACACCAUCGAGGUGGCCGCCAUGACCUCAAAGGGCCAGGGCCAAGUGUCCGCCUCCACCAUCUCCUCUGGGGUGCCCCCAGAACUCCCAGGGCCCCCCACCAACCUGGGCAUUUCCAACAUCGGCCCCCGCUCUGUGACCUUGCAGUUCAGGCCAGGCUACGAUGGGAAAACCUCCAUCUCCCGCUGGCUGGUGGAAGCCCAGGUAGGCGUGGUUGGGGAGGGAGAGGAGUGGUUGCUGAUCCACCAGCUCUCCAAUGAGCCCGAUGCCCGCUCCAUGGAGGUGCCCGACCUCAACCCCUUCACCUACUACAGCUUCCGCAUGCGCCAGGUGAACAUCGUGGGCACCAGCCCCCCCAGUCAGCCUUCUAGAAAGAUCCAGACCCUGCAGGCACCCCCUGACAUGGCCCCAGCCAAUGUGUCUCUGCGCACAGCCAGUGAGACCAGCCUGUGGCUGCGCUGGAUGCCUCUCCCGGAGAUGGAAUACAAUGGGAACCCUGAGUCCGUGGGCUAUAAGAUCAAGUACAGCCGGUCAGACGGGCAUGGCAAGACGCUGAGCCACGUGGUGCAGGACCGUGUGGAGCGGGAGUACACCAUCGAGGACCUGGAGGAGUGGACAGAGUACCGCGUCCAGGUCCAGGCCUUCAACGCCAUCGGGAGCGGGCCCUGGAGCCAGACGGUGGUGGGCAGGACCCGGGAGUCAGUCCCUUCUUCCGGCCCCACCAAUGUGUCUGCACUGGCCACCACCUCCAGCAGCAUGCUGGUGCGCUGGAGCGAGGUCCCCGAGGCCGAUCGCAACGGGCUCGUGCUGGGCUAUAAGGUGAUGUAUAAGGAGAAGGACUCGGACACCCAGCCCCGAUUCUGGCUGGUGGAAGGCAACUCGUCUCGCAGUGCCCAGCUGACCGGCUUGGGCAAAUACGUGCUCUAUGAAGUCCAGGUGCUGGCCUUCACACGCAUCGGGGACGGCAGCCCCAGCCACCCUCCCAUCCUGGAGCGGACGCUGGAUGAUGUCCCAGGACCACCCAUGGGCAUCCUGUUCCCAGAGGUGCGGACCACGUCUGUGCGGCUGAUCUGGCAGCCCCCUGCUGCCCCCAAUGGCAUCAUUCUUGCUUACCAGAUCACACACCGGCUCAACACCACCACGGCCAACACCGCCACUGUGGAGGUGCUGGCACCCAGCGCCCGGCAGUACACAGCCACGGGCCUCAAGCCAGAGUCUGUCUACCUGUUCCGCAUCACGGCCCAGACCCGCAAGGGCUGGGGAGAAGCUGCCGAGGCCUUGGUGGUGACCACCGAGAAGAGAGACCGUCCGCAGCCCCCCAGCAGGCCGAUGGUGCAGCAGGAGGAUGUGAGAGCACGCAGCGUGCUGCUGUCCUGGGAGCCAGGGAGCGACGGGCUCUCCCCUGUGCGCUACUACACCAUCCAGACCCGCGAGCUGCCCAGCGGCAGGUGGGCACUGCACUCGGCCUCCGUGAGCCACAACGCCUCCAGCUUCAUUGUGGACAGGCUGAAGCCCUUCACGUCCUACAAGUUCCGAGUGAAGGCGACCAAUGACAUUGGCGACAGCGAGUUCAGCGAGGAGUCGGAGUCACUGACCACCCUGCAGUCUGCCCCCGACGAAGCACCCACCAUCCUCUCCGUGACGCCCCACACCACCACCUCCGUGCUAAUCCGAUGGCAGCCGCCAGCAGAGGACAAGAUCAAUGGCAUCCUCCUGGGCUUCCGGAUCCGAUACCGGGAGCUGCUCUAUGAAGGACUGAGGGGCUUCACGCUUCGAGGCAUCAACAACCCAGGGGCCACAUGGGCUGAGCUUACCUCCAUGUACUCCAUGCGGAACCUGAGCCGGCCCAGCCUCACGCAGUACGAGCUGGACAACCUGAACAAGCACAGGCGGUACGAGAUACGGAUGAGCGUGUACAACGCUGUGGGCGAGGGGCCCUCCAGCCCCCCGCAGGAGGUCUUUGUUGGGGAGGCAGUGCCCACAGCAGCACCUCGUAACGUGGUCGUCCACGGCGCCACAGCCACACAGCUGGACGUGACUUGGGAGCCACCUCCGCUGGACAGCCAGAAUGGAGACAUCCAGGGGUACAAGAUUUAUUUCUGGGAAGCCCAGCGGGGGAACCUCACGGAGCGAGUGAAGACGCUUUUCCUGGCUGAGAACAGCGUGAAGCUCAAGAACUUGACUGGCUACACGGCCUACAUGGUCAGCGUGGCCGCCUUCAACGCCGCUGGGGAUGGGCCUCGGAGCACCCCCACCCAAGGCCAGACCCAGCAAGCAGCCCCCAGCGCUCCCAGCUCGGUCAAGUUCAGUGAGCUGACCACAACCUCAGUGAACGUGUCCUGGGAAGCCCCGCAGUUCCCCAAUGGCAUCCUGGAGGGCUACAGGCUGGUGUACGAGCCCUGCAGCCCCGUGGAUGGAGUCAGCAAGAUCGUGACAGUGGACGUGAAGGGGAACAGCCCCCUGUGGCUGAAGGUGAAGGACCUGGCGGAGGGGGUGACCUACAGGUUCCGCAUCAGAGCCAAGACCUUCACCUACGGGCCGGAGAUCGAAGCCAACGUCACCACGGGCCCCGGAGAAGGUGCCCCAGGACCGCCUGGCGUGCCCAUCAUCGUGCGGUACAGCUCUGCCAUCGCCAUUCACUGGUCCAGCGGAGACCCGGGCAAAGGGCCCAUCACCCGCUACGUCAUCGAGGCCAGACCUUCAGGUGCGCCCCGCCCUGCUGGGCUGAGACCCCACAGCUCAUUGUCUCCCUUCUUCCUGGGUCCCUCCACUUGGGGCACUUGCCUCUGUCCUCCGCCUGAGAAGGCGCUUGUGCUACUACAGGUGAAGUCACCUGGCCCUGUUGAGGAGUGGGAAACUGGGUUGGGGGGCUCCUAGAGCUGGACUCCUAGCUAAGUAACCCCCAGGAGGCCCCCAGAGAACGGCUGUUAGUGCUAGCUGAGGACCAGCUUGGGUUGAGGAUUGCUCAGGAGGCCAGAAGCCUGAGCACGUGGCUCACGUGGGUCACACACCGAAUCCUCCAUACGACCCCACUGAUGGGUGCCCCAUUACUAAGGAGACCCUGGCUGCCUCUCGAAGCCCUGCCUCUGCCAUCAUGGCUGUCUCAGUGGCUGCUGUAAUCGUACCAGCCUCUCCUGUCAAGCCUGAAAUUGAAUCACAAGAACUUCCAAAGCCAUCAGGAGAUGAGUGACAGAUAAGUCAGUCGGGGGGCUGCUCCCCACUGCUCCGGUUUCACCCAUCCUGACACCCGCUUGCUGGGCUCUGCUUACUCUCAGGAGCUUGCAGCCACUGCCAGCUCCCUGCGUUGCUAGGUUUCCAAGUUAAUCAGAGGUGCCAGAGUCAGCAAGAGCAGGAGGCCUGUUCUCUGUAUCCCAUGGAUCCGCGGUUAGGUGAUUAAAAUUGAGAAGGAAAAC
Molecule: small RNA, 5333 nt
Filed under: Pan troglodytes (chimpanzee)
Lineage: Eukaryota; Metazoa; Chordata; Mammalia; Primates; Hominidae
Description: retained intron
Source: RNAcentral